UACGUAGGGAGCGAGCGUUAUCCGGAUUUAUUGGGUGUAAAGGGUGCGUAGACGGGUUAGCAAGUUAGUUGUGAAAUCCCUCGGCUUAACUGAGGAACUGCAACUAAAACUGUUAAUCUUGAGUGCAGGAGAGGUAAGUGGAAUUCCUAGUGUAGCGGUGAAAUGCGUAGAUAUUAGGAGGAACACCAGUGGCGAAGGCGACUUACUGGACUGUAACUGACGUUGAGGCACGAAAGUGUGGGGAGCAAACAGG
RNAcentral lists this ribosomal RNA (253 nucleotides) under uncultured bacterium. Its description in RNAcentral is "partial 16S ribosomal RNA". It matches the Rfam family "Bacterial small subunit ribosomal RNA", at positions 524 to 776 of the family's 1533-position model. The record is from RNAcentral.